CGGUGAAGCAGCAGUCGGUGAAGCAGCAGUCGGUGAAGCAGCAGUGCAGUGAAGCAGCAGUGCAGUGAAGCAGCAGUCGGUGAAGCAGCAGUGCAGUGAAGCGUUGUGUUGUAUCAGCAUGGUCAACUCAGUAUUCCCAUACUGCUGGACCCUGUGCCUGAUCCAGCUGGCUACAGGACUGGUUCAUGGAAACAUYCGUCUAGAGGACUCCCAUCCCAGCCUCAGACGCAMCGAYGACUCCUUCCUCUCAGAUAUAGGUAAAGGCUCUCUCUCYAGAGGGGAUCCUGUUGGUUUCCRCUCAGAGUCUGAGGAAGAGGAGGAGGAAGAGGAGGAGCUGCUGAUGGACAUGGAAACCUACGAUGAG
Non-coding RNA from Salvelinus sp. IW2-2015, 364 nucleotides. The record is from RefSeq and is a predicted model, not a curated record. NCBI's taxonomy places the organism in Eukaryota, Metazoa, Chordata, Actinopteri, Salmoniformes, Salmonidae.